CUUGGGUGCCAUGAGUUUCUUUGUUCAACUUUGAUCGUCUGUUUUAUUUAAUUGUUUUGAAAAAAAUAAAAAACAUAAAUCAUGUAUAAACUAUAUUCAUGUUUUAUAAUCUAAUAACAAUAAAAACACCAGUAGUAAAAAAAUUUCAAAUAAAACGGAUGAUCAAAGUUGGUACGAAAAACUUAUGGCUACACUUAUU
Molecule: microRNA precursor, 199 nt
Filed under: Oryza rufipogon (brownbeard rice)
Lineage: Eukaryota; Viridiplantae; Streptophyta; Magnoliopsida; Poales; Poaceae
Description: MIR812 microRNA precursor family
Rfam family: MIR812 microRNA precursor family
Source: Rfam by way of RNAcentral